Molecule: ribosomal RNA, 409 nt
Filed under: uncultured Leucobacter sp.
Lineage: Bacteria; Bacillati; Actinomycetota; Actinomycetes; Micrococcales; Microbacteriaceae
Description: bacterial SSU rRNA
Rfam family: Bacterial small subunit ribosomal RNA
Source: RNAcentral
UGGGGAAUAUUGCACAAUGGGCGCAAGCCUGAUGCAACAACGCCGCGUGAGGGAUGACGGCCUUCGGGUUGUAAACCUCUUUUGUCAGGGAAGAAGCCUUCGGGUGACGGUACCUGGAGAAAAAGCACCGGCUAACUACGUGCCAGCAGCCGCGGUAAUACGUAGGGUGCAAGCGUUGUCCGGAAUUAUUGGGCGUAAAGAGCUCGUAGGCGGCUUGUCGCGUCUGCUGUGAAAACCCGAGGCUCAACCUCGGGCCUGCAGUGGGUACGGGCAGGCUAGAGUGCGGUAGGGGAGAUUGGAAUUCCUGGUGUAGCGGUGGAAUGCGCAGAUAUCAGGAGGAACACCGAUGGCGAAGGCAGAUCUCUGGGCCGUAACUGACGCUGAGGAGCGAAAGCAUGGGGAGCGAACA